This 138-nucleotide ribosomal RNA is filed under the name uncultured bacterium. RNAcentral's name for it is "partial 16S ribosomal RNA". It matches the Rfam family "Bacterial small subunit ribosomal RNA", at positions 355 to 509 of the family's 1533-position model. The record is from RNAcentral.
UGGGGAAUAUUGCACAAUGGGGGGAACCCUGAUGCAGCGACGCCGCGUGGGUGAAGGAGUAUUUCGGUAUGUAAAGCCCUAUCAGCAGGGAAGAACAAUGACGGUACCUGACUAAGAAGCACCGGCUAAAUACGUGCC